RNAcentral lists this microRNA precursor (168 nucleotides) under Pelobates cultripes (western spadefoot toad). Lineage: Eukaryota; Metazoa; Chordata; Amphibia; Anura; Pelobatidae. The record is from RNAcentral.
GCAGACACAUUCCAGCCAAUCAGCAGCAGACCCUCCCUCCCAGACCCUCUCACCUCCUGGACAGCUCACUAAGAAUGCAGCUUCACAAUGAAUAUAAAAUGGAUGCUGUCCAGGAGGUGGGAGGGUCUUGGAGGGAGGGUCUGCUGCUGAUUGGCUGGAAUGUGUCUG